Myotis myotis is the source of this 3787-nucleotide RNA transcript. It is a transcript of the gene named mahogunin ring finger 1, with no coding region annotated. Lineage: Eukaryota; Metazoa; Chordata; Mammalia; Chiroptera; Vespertilionidae. The transcript has 19 exons. The record is from RefSeq and is a predicted model, not a curated record.
CGGAGGGCUGCCGUAGCGUCGGCCCGGCCGAGUCGGGGGUGGGGGCUCGGAGGCUGAGGAUUCCGCGGCCGUGGGCUGGCGUCCGUGGGCUGGCGUCCGUGUGGCCUGCUCCCGGCCAUGUCUGCGUGAAGACGCCGCUGCUGCCGCCGCCGUCCUACUCGGUCCUGGCCAGCCCGGCCCGCUGUGACCAUGGGCUCCAUCCUGAGCCGACGCAUUGCGGGCGUGGAGGACAUCGACAUUCAGGCGAACUCGGCCUAUCGCUACCCCCCGAAGUGCGGAAACUACUUUGCUACACACUUUUUCAUGGGAGGUGAGAAGUUUGACACCCCCCACCCUGAAGGUUACCUCUUUGGAGAAAACAUGGAUCUGAACUUCCUGGGCAAUCGCCCGGUCCAGUUUCCUUAUGUCACCCCUGCUCCCCAUGAGCCAGUGAAGACGCUGAGGAGCCUAGUGAACAUCCGAAAAGACUCGCUCCGGCUCGUAAGGUAUAAAGAUGGUGCCAACAGCCCCACCGAGGACAGCGAGAAGCCCCAUGUCCUCUACAGCCUGGAGUUCACCUUCGAUGCCGAUGCCCGGGUGGCCAUCACCAUCUACUGCCAGGCGGUGGAGGAGUUUCUCAACGGGAUGGCUGUGUACAUCCCCAAAAGCCCUGCCCUGCAAUCUGAGACUGUCCACUAUAAGAGGGGUGUGAGCCAGCAGUUCUCUCUGCCCUCCUUCAAGAUCGACUUCUCAGAGUGGAAGGACGAUGAGUUGAACUUCGACCUGGACCGGGGAGUGUUUCCAGUGGUCAUCCAGGCCGUUGUGGACGAAGGAGACGUUGUGGAGGUGACUGGCCACGCCCAUGUGCUGUUGGCUGCCUUUGAAAAGCAUGUGGACGGCAGUUUCUCCGUGAAGCCGUUGAAGCAGAAGCAAAUUGUAGACCGGGUCAGCUACCUGCUGCAGGAGAUCUAUGGCAUUGAGAACAAGAACAACCAGGAGACGAAGCCUUCAGACGAGGAGAACAGUGACAACAGCAAUGAGUGCGUGGUGUGCCUGUCAGACCUGCGGGACACGCUGAUCCUGCCCUGCCGCCACCUGUGCCUGUGCAACUCCUGUGCCGACACGCUGCGCUACCAGGCCAGCAACUGCCCCAUCUGCCGGCUGCCUUUCCGGGCCCUUUUGCAGAUCCGGGCGGUGAGGAAGAAGCCAGGAGCCCUGUCCCCCGUCUCCUUCAGCCCCGUUCUGGCCCAGAGCGUGGACCACGAUGAGCACUCUUGUCCCUUUAAAAAAUCAAAGUCGCACCCUGCCUCACUGGCCAGCAAGAAACCUAAAAGGGAAACUAGCUCGGACAGCAUCCCGCCGGGCUAUGAGCCCAUCUCUCUGCUUGAGGCGCUCAACGGCCUCCGGGCCAUCUCCCCGGCCCUCCCCUCGGCUCCCCUGUAUGAAGAGAUCACCUACUCGGGCGUCUCGGAUGGUCUGUCCCAGGCCAGCUGCCCACUUGCUGGGCUUGAUCGCAUCAUGGAAAGCAGCCACCAGAAGGGCAAGUCACGGAGCAAAUCCCCCGACAGCACCCUGCGGUCCCCCUCAUCCCCCAUCCACGAAGAGGAUGAGGAGAAGCUCUCCCAGGACUCGGACGCCCCUCCCCUGCCGAGUGGGGCUGGGCUGGUGCUGAGCAGCUCCCCAGAGAGUUUCCUCACGGAGGAGGUUGAUGAGAGGUCGUCGCUAAAGCAAGGGAGCCGUGUACCUUCCAUUGACAACGUCCUCCAGGAUGGCAGCCCUGAGCCCUGUGGCUGCUGCCAGCCCGGCCCACCUACCGACAUCUACCUUCCAGCCCAGGCCCCCGACUCCUGUUCUGUUGGCAUCGAGGAGUAAGCUGGGCUACAGCUGCUGCUGGCACCACAGACGUGCAUGCGCAGAGGUGGGUGCAGACUGGCCCUGCCCUCCAGGUUUUAAAGUUGGAAGGUCCAUCUCCAUGAAGACACCGGAGCCUCCUUGCCACUGGCCCCACCUAGCCUCUGGUGGCCCCAGUCCUGAUGUGGAGGCCACCGCCUGACUCAACUCUGAAAGCCUGGCCAGGCUGGCAGCAUGGAGCCCUCAGCUCCCCAGACUUUGCCAAGGGGCUGUCUGGACUCCAUUGAGACCCCUGGCCUCUCCUAUCUGCACACCCUUCAUAGCCACGGCUCCAAGGGGCCCUGCGACCCUUGAUUGAAGAGCACAGUGGACUGUCCCCCUGACAAACCUUUUUUGCUGCGGUUUCUGUAUUUGUAAAUGGUACACAAUGAAGGACAGCCCCUUUCUGUCUCGGGCACUGAGCUCUGAGUUCCCCCAAAUCUCUUGUUGGCUGAAUGGCUGGAGCUGGAGGCUGGCUACCCACAUGUCCCAGAUUGGCUUUAUCCAGCCCCCCAGCCAGUGGGAGGCUGAAACCCUGAGAACUCAGCAAACCGGCAGGAGAGAAUUUAUCGGUGGGUGAAGUACUGUCUUCCCAGGGGGUAGUACUGGGGGGGCUUGUUGUUGGGGAAGGGAAGGAAGGGGGAUCCGAGUCACGGUCAAUGAAGGAAACGAUGCCUGUGCCCGUCCCCCGAGGUCAUGGCCUGGCUGGCACUGCUGCUUUGUGUCCUCUGCUGCUUCCCCUCCCGCGCAGGCCCUCCGUGCAGGGCUGUAUAGCUUGCAGCCUUCCCUGUGGCCUGCGCAGCCUGCGUUUCUGCACUCGGGCCUGACUCUUCCCAGGGGCAGAGGUGCAGUGCACAGCCUAUUGGCAGCAGUUGGUCUAGUGCCGUGGUCGGCAAACUGCGGUUCGCGAGCCACAUGCGGCUCUUUGGCCCCUUGAGUGUGGCUCUUCCUAAGCCUUAGGAGUACCCUAAUUACGUUAAUAACAAUGUACCUACCUAUAUAGCUUAAGUUUAAAAAAUUUGGCUCUCAAAAGAAAUUUCAAUCGUUGUACUGUUGAUAUUUGGCUCUGUUGACUAAUGAGUUUGCCAACCACUGGUCCAGUGGCCCCUCUCCAGGCCCUGCACCUUCUCAGAGGUGGCUUUGCACACGUCCUCAGACCCCCUCCAGGUGGAGGGGCCUCCGCUCAGCUUGUCGGCCCGCUCAGGGAGGGAUCUGAGCAACAUUUCUGCUCCCUCCUCCCUCCGUGUCCUUUAAAUGUCACUCGGUGUUUCUCAUUGAUUUGUUCUGUCUGGGGCUCCUGUGGUGGGACCUGCCUCCUGGAGAAGGGUCCCAUUUGAAGUGGCCUCAUCAUUUUCUUAAGAUAAACCACCUGGGCAAUAGAAAAGCAGAGGAGGCACAGGCUGCCCAAGCAGGGACCUUGGCCUGGUGGGUGGGUGGGUCUGUGCAGCUCCCCAAAGGGCCAACACUUUGGGCCUUGGAUUAGGGGGUUCAGAGGAGCUCGCUUUCUGAGGAUGAUGGUUCUGGGAGCAUCCACACAGCUGGGGGCUUUGUCCAGUAGGGUCCUUGUUCUCUCUCCAAUGGGCUGUGAGCAGAGUGCUGCCUUAUGCACAGCUCUCGGCCACCCUCGGGCCACCUUCCUCAGCCGCUUGGCUCCCUGUCUCUCCCCCCCCCCCCCAACUCCCACCCACUGGUGUGCUCAUGGGUGCACAUGUGCACACAUACAGGCUGUCUCUCUCCUCUCCCUCAUCACCCACCAACACCCUGGCCUCUUGCCGUUGGCAUUGGUGCCAGUACUCCGAAUGACAGGAUGCAGUACCCCUGUCUUGGACUUAAACAUGCUAUCAUUUGAUGUAUUCUGAUUGGCUAGUUUUUGUUCCUUUUUACUGUAUAUUUAUAGUAAUAAAAUCAUCCAGCAAUA